UGACCCGGCCAAAGCCGUGGGGAAGGAGAGAGGCAGAGAAGAUGGCAACCAGCCAAGGAAAUAUUGCUGCUCAACAGAGAGGACUGCGAGUUGGCCAGCGGCUGUCUCCCCCAGGAUAAGAUGAUGCAUAAUCAACGCCCUGCUGUGGUUCACAGCCAUCACAUUGCAACUGCUCCUCCUGCGGCA
Molecule: long non-coding RNA, 186 nt
Organism: Neolamprologus brichardi
Lineage: Eukaryota; Metazoa; Chordata; Actinopteri; Cichliformes; Cichlidae
Source: RefSeq, a predicted model, not a curated record